CCCUUAGAUGUCCUGGGCCGCACGCGCGUUACACUGAUGCAUUCAACGAGCUUAUAACCUUGGCCGAGAGGCCUGGGCAAUCUUUUAAACCUGCAUCGUGAUAGGGAUAGAUUAUUGCAAUUAUUAAUCUUGAACGAGGAAUUCCUAGUAAACGCAAAUCAUCAAUUUGCAUUGAUUACGUCCCUGCCCUUUGUACACACCGCCCGUCGCACCUACCGAUUGAAUGGUCCGGUGAAAUCUCGGGAUUGUGGCCAGUUCACUUUAUUGGGAGUUGGCUGCGAGAACUUGCUUAAACCUUAUCAUUUAGAGGAAGGUGAAGUCGUAACA
RNAcentral lists this ribosomal RNA (327 nucleotides) under uncultured eukaryote. Its description in RNAcentral is "partial 18S ribosomal RNA". It matches the Rfam family "Eukaryotic small subunit ribosomal RNA", at positions 1470 to 1796 of the family's 1831-position model. The record is from RNAcentral.